UACGGCCAUAUCACGUUGAAACACUACUUCUCGUACGAUCACUGCAGUUAAGCAACGUUGAGCUUUGACAAUACUUAGAUGAGUGACCGCUUGGGAAUACCAGAUGCU
This is a non-coding RNA of Acanthosepion pharaonis, 108 nucleotides long. The record is from the annotation of a GenBank genome assembly. Lineage: Eukaryota; Metazoa; Mollusca; Cephalopoda; Sepiida; Sepiidae.